UUCUUCUCUGGCAACCGUUCUUCUUCCGUUGUUUUUCUGUGUAUUCUUAGGGAUUUAUAAAUCCCUUUUAUUACCUUCAAGUGAACCAAGCCCAUUAAAAUCUUUUUUUUUCCUUUUUCUUUUUAUUUCAAUAAUAAUAAUAAUAGUAAAAUUGGUGGGUUCCACUUGAGGAGUGAGCCCACCCAACACUUCUGAAUAUUACAAUAUGAGAAAUUCUAUAUUGCAAUAUACUUUAACAUCGACAACCAUAAUAAGCUCAAAUUUAGGUCCAUCAAUUCUCAUUUACUCAAAUCUGGAUCAAUCAAUUCUCAUGCAUGUCAAAAAGUUUUAUCAUAUGAAUACAAAAUUUAUAUAAUAGUUGAUUUUAGGAUCAUCGCCACCUAGAAGCUCACAUUUUGGUAUAUCAAUUCUCUUGUGGUAAUAUGAGUUUUACGAUAUAACUACAAAAUUCAUAUUGCAUAUAUUUUAGAGUCAUAAACUACAAGUUCACAUUUGAAUCCAUCGAUUCUCAUGUAUAAACAUUACAGUCUCAUGUAUAAACAUUACAAUCUUUUAUUAUAAAUAAAAAAAUUCGACUCAAAGCUCUAUUUGAAAUUCUCGUGUCAUCAUUUGAAUUUUACAAUAUAAAUACAAUAACAGAUUAUAGGAUCAUCAACAAUAAGCUCAAAUUUAAGUUCAUCAAUUUGCAUAUAAAUCAUCCCAAUUUCACAAUAUCAAAACAAAGUUUAUAUUAAAUAGAUGUUAGGGUCAUCAACAAGAAAGUUGCAUCUAGAUUUAUCCAUUCUCAUGUAGUUUUAUAAUAAGAAUACAAAAUCAACUUCAAGCUCAAUUUGAAUCCAUUUUUCAUGUAUGUCAUCAUUCCAGUUUUACUGUAUGGAUACUCAUACCAAUUUACAUUGGAUCAUCAACCAUAAGUUCACAUGUGGGUCCAUCAAUUCUCACGAGUAUUACAAUAUAAAUAUAAAAUUCACAUUAAAAUUUAUUUUUGGAUCAUCAAAACCUAGUGCAUUCAUUCUACCAAAGCCAUCCAAUUACUGUUACAAUUGUACUGGCUAUUGGUUUACAGUAGUCAAAUGAUAUGCCUUCAAAAAAACAACCAAAAAUAUUAGCACCAUUUAUUUAUCCUUAAAUUUUCUCCUUAACUCUCCAAAACCAAAUUACCAUGCCGACAACAACGAAAAUGCAGCAUCCCAUUACCACCCUACGACUUUAGAGUCAUAAUUGAAAAGCUCACAUUUUGAUCUAUCAAACUUCAGGUGUACCAUUCGAGUUUUCCAAUAUUAAUAUAAUUUUUGUAAUGCAAUUAAUUUUUGGGUCAUCAACUUCAAGCUUGUUCACCAAUUCACAUGUAGAUCAUGAGUUUUACAAUAUGAAUACAAAUUUACUUAUGGGUAUUCAACCAUAAGCUCCCUUUCAAAUUGCAAUUCGCUUGUAUACCAUUCAAAUUUCACAAUAUGAAUACAAAAAUCAUAUUAAAAUUGAUUUUAUGAUUAUCAUCUAGAAGCUCACAUUGUCAAUCAAUUCUCAUGUAUACCAUAUGAACUUUCCAAUAUGAAUACAAAAUUCAUAUUGCAAUUUUUUUUUAUGACCAUCACAUUUGGGUCCACCAACUCUUGUCUUAUUUAUGUCAUCAUUGGAGUUUUACAAUAUCAAUGCGAAGUUCAUAUAGCAGUUCACCUUAGGGGCUUCAACCAUAAUCUCACAUUUAUGUCCAUCAAUUAUAUGUAUAUCAUUUGAGUUUCAUAAUAUAAAUGUAUAAAACCUCAAAAGUCAUCAACUGAUAACUCACAUUUGAAUCAAUCAAUUCUCAUGUAUAUCAUUGAAUUUCAUAAUAUGAAUAUGAAAUUUAUAUUGAAAUUGAUUUAAGGGUCAUCAUCUAGAAAGUGCAAUUCUCUUGUAUACCAUAUGAGUAUUACAAUAUGAAUACAAAAUUCAUAUAGCAAUUUAUUUUAGGCACAUCAACUUAAAACUCACAUUUGGGUUCAUCAAUGCUCAUAUGUAUCAUCAUACGAGUUUUACAAUAUGAAUAAGAAUUUCAUGUAGUAAUUUACUUUAGGGUCAUCAACUAUAAAUUCACAUUUGGUUCCAUCAAUUCUCAGCUCACAUUUGGGUCACUUUGCAUGUAGACCACCCGAAUUUCACAAUAUGAAUAUGAAAUUCAUAUUGAAAUUGAUUUUGAGGUCAUCAUCUAGCACAUGCAAUUUUCUUAUAUACCAUCUAAGUUUUACAAUAUGAAUACAAAAUUCAUAUGGCAAUUAAUUUUUGAGACAUCAAGUUACUCACAUUUGGUUCCAUCAAUUCUUAUGCCAAUCAUCCGAGUUUUCACAAUAUAAAUAUAAAAUUCAUAUUAGGAUCACCAACUAAUAGCUCACAUUAGGUCACUUCGCAUGUAUACCAUCCAAAUUUCACUAUGAAUAUGAAGUUGAUUUAAGGGUCGUCAUCUAGAAGGUGCAAUUAUCUUGCAUACAAUCUGAGUUUUACAAUAUGAAUAUAAAAUUCAUAUUGCAGUUUAUUUUUUAGGGACAUCAACUUCAAGAAUGCAUUGGGCUCUAUCAAUUCUCAUAUAUAUCAUCAUUCGAGUUUUUACAAUAUGAAUAAGAAUUUCAUGAUGUAAUUUAAUUUAGGGCCAUCAACUAUAAGCUCAAAUUUGAUUUCAUCAAUUCUCAUGUACAUCAUAUGUGUUUCACAAUAUAAAUAUAAAAUUUAUAUUAGGGUCAACAACUCAACUCACAUUUGGGUCAUUUUGCAUGUAUACCACCAAAUUUCACAAUAUGAAUAUGAAUUUCAUAUUGAAAUUAAUUUAUGGGUCAUCAUCUAGAAGGGACAAUUCACUUGUAUACCAUCCAAGUUUUACGAUAUGAAUAGAAAAUUCAAAUUGCAAUUUAUUUUAGGGAUCAAGCUUGCAUUCGAGUCCGUCAAUUCUUAUGUAUAUCCUCAGAGAUUUACCGUAUGAAUAAAAACUUUCAUAAUGCAAUCUACUUCAUGGUCAUCAACCAUAAACUCACAUUUUGGUCCGUCAAUUCUCAUACACAUUCAUUGAGUUUCACAAUAUAAAUACAAGAUUUAUAUUGCAAUAGAUUAUAGGGACAUUAAAUCAAAGCUCACAUUUGGGUCUGGCAAUUCUCAUGUAUCACAUUAGUAUAUGAUGUUUAUCAUUUCCUCCCAAUUUCAUGAUAUGGGCAAAAAAUCAUAUCAUCAAAAUUUGAAUCAUGGGAUCAUUAGUGUCUCCUAGUUUUAUGACAUGGGCAAAAAAUCAUGUCAUCAAAAUUAGAAUAAUAGGAUCAUUACUUUCCCCUGGUUUUAUGAUACGGGCAAAAAAUUGUAGUGAUGGCAUUAUAGACCUUCAAACCUUACUUUUAUAUUAGAAAUUAAAACUCAUGACAAACCUUCAUUUAUUAGCAUCAUAAUUUCUUAGGCAUACCUUCCAAUUUACAAUAUGAAUUAAGAAUUAUAUAAAGCUAAGCACCAAAGAAAGUGUUCAUAUAACAUGUCCCAAUUUGAGCAAAGAAUUAAUUGGUUUUCAAAUUCAUUGAGAUUGAAACUUUGUGCAACCAAUUUCAUAUGGUGAAAACAUAAUUCAUAUAUAUGUUUCUUUUGUGCCCAAACAAUCAAGAUUAUAAAUUCUUAUUCUUAAUAUUGUAAAAAAAAUAACAAGUUAAUGUACUAACGAAAUAACUGUGUCAAAAGAUUCAAGCCAAACGGGGUUUUGGACACUGUGCAAUGAAAGACAGAUUUAACGAAAACCUGAAGAAAUCGAGGUCGAAUCAAGAAGCCAAAAAAAUUCCAGCAACACUUUUCGACAUAUUAGGGUUAGAAUCCGAAACCUCCGAAUUAGGGCUCUGAUAUGUCGGCGUUUAUCGAAGCAAGCUGAGGCGGCAGAAAAUUGAUACCUCUGUGAUUGAAAUCUUGCGAUAACAAUUCAGUUUUUCAAAUAUUGAAUCAAAUUUUUAGGACGCCGAUGAUCAAGAUUCUUGGAAAUCGAAUGUGAUUUCCCAUUUUCACACAUCUCUCGUUAUCUUAAAACCCUAAUUCCUAAAACAGAAAGAACAGUGGUGGCCGUGAAAUGGUAUUGUAUUAUUUAUUUAUAGAGAUUUAAUAAAAUAAAGUUGGAUGUUUCAAUACCAAAAACGCG
Molecule: long non-coding RNA, 4132 nt
Filed under: Cicer arietinum (chickpea)
Lineage: Eukaryota; Viridiplantae; Streptophyta; Magnoliopsida; Fabales; Fabaceae
Description: long non-coding RNA (CARI_LNC002304)
Source: RNAcentral